UACGAAGGGAUCUAGCGUUGUUCGGAUUUACUGGGCGUAAAGGGCGCGUAGGCGGUCUGAUAAGUAAGGUGUGAAAGCCCCGGGCUUAACCCGGGAACUGCACUUUAAACUGUCAGGCUUGAGUAUGGGAGAGGUAAGUAGAAUUUCCAGUGUAGAGGUGAAAUUCGUAGAUAUUGGAAAGAAUACCAGUGGCGAAGGCGGCUUACUGGACCAUAACUGACGCUGAGGCGCGAAAGCGUGGGGAGCAAACAGG
Molecule: ribosomal RNA, 253 nt
Filed under: uncultured prokaryote
Description: partial 16S ribosomal RNA
Rfam family: Bacterial small subunit ribosomal RNA
Source: RNAcentral